GACGAACGCUGGCGGCGUGCUUAACACAUGCAAGUCGAACGGGAUUUCGUAAACAGAAGCCUCGGUGGAAGAUUACUAAUGAGAGUGGCGAACGGGUGAGUAACGCGUGAGCAACCUGCCUAUGACAGUGGGAUAGCCUCGGGAAACCGGGAUUAAUACCGCAUAAAAUCGUAGAAACACAUGUUUUAACGGUCAAAGAUUUAUCGGUCAUAGAUGGGCUCGCGUCUGAUUAGCUAGUUGGUGAGAUAACAGCCCACCAAGGCGACGAUCAGUAGCCGGUCUGAGAGGAUGAACGGCCACAUUGGAACUGAGACACGGUCCAAACUCCUAUGGGAGGCAGCAGUGGGGAAUAUUGCACAAUGGGGGAAACCCUGAUGCAGCGACGCCGCGUGAACGAAGAAGGUAUUCGUAUCGUAAAGUUCUGUCCUAUGGGAUGAUAAUGACAGUACCAGAGAAGAAAGCUCCGGCUAAAUACGUG
Molecule: ribosomal RNA, 478 nt
Filed under: uncultured bacterium
Lineage: Bacteria
Description: partial 16S ribosomal RNA
Rfam family: Bacterial small subunit ribosomal RNA
Source: RNAcentral